GCCUGGCUGGCUUAGUCAGUUAAGCAUCUGACUUCAGCUCAGGUGAUCCCAUGGUUUGUGGAUUUGAGCCCCGUGUUGGGCU
This 82-nucleotide transfer RNA is filed under the name Felis catus (domestic cat). It matches the Rfam family "tRNA". From Rfam's summary of the family: Transfer RNA (tRNA) molecules are approximately 80 nucleotides in length. Their secondary structure includes four short double-helical elements and three loops (D, anti-codon, and T loops). Lineage: Eukaryota; Metazoa; Chordata; Mammalia; Carnivora; Felidae. The record is from Rfam by way of RNAcentral.